This 301-nucleotide ribosomal RNA is filed under the name uncultured bacterium. RNAcentral's name for it is "partial 16S ribosomal RNA". It matches the Rfam family "Bacterial small subunit ribosomal RNA", at positions 509 to 807 of the family's 1533-position model. The record is from RNAcentral.
CAGCAGCCGCGGGAAUACGGAGGAUCCAAGCGUUAUCCGGAAUUAUUGGGUUUAAAGGGUCCGUAGGCGGUCUUGUAAGUCAGUGGUGAAAGCCCAUCGCUCAACGGUGGAACGGCCAUUGAUACUGCAGGACUUGAAUUAUUGGGAAGUAACUAGAAUAUGUAGUGUAGCGGUGAAAUGCUUAGAGAUUACAUGGAAUACCAAUUGCGAAGGCAGGUUACUACCAAUUGAUUGACGCUGAUGGACGAAAGCGUGGGUAGCGAACAGGAUUAGAUACCCGAGUAGUCCCUGUCUCUUAUAC